RNAcentral lists this ribosomal RNA (1457 nucleotides) under uncultured Porphyromonadaceae bacterium. RNAcentral describes it as "16S ribosomal RNA". It matches the Rfam family "Bacterial small subunit ribosomal RNA". The record is from RNAcentral. Lineage: Bacteria; Pseudomonadati; Bacteroidota; Bacteroidia; Bacteroidales; Porphyromonadaceae.
GAUGAACGCUAGCGACAGGCUUAACACAUGCAAGCUCGAGGGGCAGCGGGUAUUUAGCUUGCUAAAUAUGCCGGCGACCGGCGCACGGGUGCGUAACGCGUAUGCAACCUACCUACUAGAGGGGAAUAACCCGGCGAAAGUCGGACUAAUACCGCAUAACACAGGGGUCCCGCAUGGGAAUAUUUGUUAAAGGAGCAAUCCGCUGGUAGAUGGGCAUGCGUUCCAUUAGAUAGUUGGUGAGGUAACGGCUCACCAAGUCUGCGAUGGAUAGGGGUUCUGAGAGGAAGGUCCCCCACACUGGUACUGAGACACGGACCAGACUCCUACGGGAGGCAGCAGUGAGGAAUAUUGGUCAAUGGGCGAGAGCCUGAACCAGCCAAGUCGCGUGAAGGAUGAAGGGUCUAUGGUUCGUAAACUUCUUUUAUUGGGGAAUAACGGGUGGUACGUGUACCACAGAAGAAUGUACCCAUAUGAAUAAGCAUCGGCUAACUCCGUGCCAGCAGCCGCGGUAAUACGGAGGAUGCGAGCGUUAUCCGGAUUUAUUGGGUUUAAAGGGUGCGUAGGUGGGAUUUUAAGUCAGCGGUGAAAGUUUGUGGCUCAACCAUAAAAUUGCCGUUGAAACUGGAGUUCUUGAGUAUGUUUGAGGUAGGCGGAAUGCGUGGUGUAGCGGUGAAAUGCAUAGAUAUCACGCAGAACUCCGAUUGCGAAGGCAGCUUACUAAACCAUAACUGACACUGAAGCACGAAAGCGUGGGUAUCAAACAGGAUUAGAUACCCUGGUAGUCCACGCAGUAAACGAUGAUAACUAGGAGUUUGCGAUAGACAGUAAGCUCUACAGCGAAAGCGUUAAGUUAUCCACCUGGGGAGUACGCCGGCAACGGUGAAACUCAAAGGAAUUGACGGGGGCCCGCACAAGCGGAGGAACAUGUGGUUUAAUUCGAUGAUACGCGAGGAACCUUACCCGGGUUUGAACGCAUUUUGACCGGGGUGGAAACACCCCUUCUAGCAAUAGCAAUUUGCGAGGUGCUGCAUGGUUGUCGUCAGCUCGUGCCGUGAGGUGUCGGCUUAAGUGCCAUAACGAGCGCAACCCUUAUCGGUAGUUACCAGCAUGUAAUGAUGGGGACUCUACCGAGACUGCCAGCGUAAGCUGUGAGGAAGGUGGGGAUGACGUCAAAUCAGCACGGCCCUUACAUCCGGGGCGACACACGUGUUACAAUGGCGAGGACAAAGAGCAGCCAGCGGGUGACCGUGAGCUAAUCUCUAAACCUCGUCUCAGUUCGGAUCGAAGUCUGCAACCCGACUUCGUGAAGCUGGAUUCGCUAGUAAUCGCGCAUCAGCCAUGGCGCGGUGAAUACGUUCCCGGGCCUUGUACACACCGCCCGUCAAGCCAUGGGAGUUGGGGGUACCUAAAGUCCGUAACCGCAAGGAUCGGCCUAGGGUAAAACCGAUGACUGGGGC